This 408-nucleotide ribosomal RNA is filed under the name Triticum aestivum (bread wheat). RNAcentral describes it as "partial small subunit ribosomal RNA". The record is from RNAcentral. Lineage: Eukaryota; Viridiplantae; Streptophyta; Magnoliopsida; Poales; Poaceae.
AUGCAGAGGCGGAGGCCAGGAUUCCACCAUGUGGAAGAGACAGAGAACAAUGUAGUGCGCAGCCUGUUCUGGACAGAUUCCUUGUGUAAGAUGAAUUAUGAUCUAUAUGGAGAUUUCGUGUCUUUUGACACCACAUUCUCUACAAAUAUAUAUGGCUUGCCAUUUGCACCAAUUAUAGGUGUCGACAACCACGGGUCGACCAUCCUGUUUGGAGUAGGCCUUUUGAAGGAUGAGAAAAUAGGGUCAUUCAAGUGGCUCCUAAGCACGUUUGUCGAGGCAAUGGGAGGUAAAGAGCCGAAAUACAUAAUAACAGACCAGGACCAGGCGAUGAAGACUGCAAUAAAGGAAGCUCUUCCGAGGACGAGGCACAGGUUCUGCUGGUGGCAUAUUAGGAAGAACCUGAAGGAA